AAACGCGUCUGGAUAUACAAGUAUGUCGGUGCAGAUCCAGAUAGAUCUGCGCAUUUCUGUAGAUACAUUACCACCGAGAACAUCGCACACCGGUAAUUAACUUUGUUCGAGUUCGAUUUAAGGGGGUAUAUACGUUUGUCGGUUUCAAAGAACUGAUUUUUUUCUUUCCAUUUUUCGACAGUUUGAACCUUCAAGAAUGUUGUCCUAAAACCGUUUUUUGAAAUUCGAACAAGUAAAGAAGUUACGACGCGUUUUGUCGGGCAGUGCAGGGCGUGCGCCUGCCGUUUCUGAAGCGGCGCGCAGGUAGAAGGGUCGGACCCUCAUGCAACGGUUUCUUUUGCCCUUUACAAUAAAACUUACUUUUGAGAUUGAAGCAUAGGUAUUUUCUAAUAGAUGAUGAUGCUGUAAGCAGUGCUCUAAGCUGUUUUCAAGCCGAUUAUUCAUUUAGUUGGCGUCGGUUGCGUGAUACGGACGAUUCUCGUUGUUUGUGGAGUACAUGUCACGAUGAAAUAGGUGUCAAAGUUCUCGAGAGUCACAGGGAGUGAACAAAUUUCGAAAAAGUUUUACGCGCAAGCGAAAAAUGCCGCCCAAUAGGUGGCAAACGGUGUAUCCAAGCGGACGUCCGAGCACAGCAUGCGAUGCGGGAGGCCCGAAUAAGCCGUCGCCUCGCUAAAAACCAACAAAUGGGGGCAAACCUUGUGCAGGAGGAUUCCCUGUAUGGCCCAGGAAUUGACGAUGACGUAUGAACGGGCACGGAGAUAUUAUUGUAACCGCGGAAUGACGAAUCGCGUGCACGGUUAACUACACGACGAUGGAAGGGGGGGAUUUUGUAACACUAUUAUUUCAAUAAAAUUUGUAUAAGAAGUACAAAAGGUGUACUUUAUUAUGCAACAAGUCCCAUUUUUAUAGUUUGUCUUGGCUCUGCAAAAAAUUCAUGAAAAAUGCCUUUUUGGGGGGGCUCCAAACGUAUAUGCCCCCUUAAGGAAAAUCCCCUGCGACAAGAUUACGUAAUACACUUUCGAAAUACCAAGCCAUCGCUCCGAACGACGCGGCGCAACGGGGUGCACUGCCAGUGUGUCGCGUACGUGUGCCGCGGACGAUGCGGCGGGGGGUUCUGAGCGACGGAUCGGAUCGCGCGGCGCGACUCACCCCUAAUUAUGCCUUAACGAAAAUAAAUCGCUACAUUUGUAAGAGUGUCGUGUCUCUUUGGGCAUUUCCGCAGAUAGCCCGCACCACCCCCGUCCUGCGUUCACCGCAGUUCGUCUUCUCCACCUCUCUUCCUCGCGCCCUUUCUCACCUACCACCCUCUCACCGUUUCUCCGCUCCGCUGUGUUACUUCGUACUCUACGCCACCUGUUUGAUUCUCUCAAAGGGAUACCAGUGUCUAUUUGUCUAUUUCGGUUUGUCCCGACCUCUCCCGCCCACACGACUUAGACACAGAAUCCAGCGUAGUUUUGUCCCCGUCGCCCGAUCUACCCUCUGUGUACCUCCUGCCUUCACCCCGCCUCGCAGCUCCAAGUUGAACAAUCAAUUUCAAUUUCGCGAGAAUCUCUUUUAAAUCUCGAAUUCGCCACGCCGCGCUCGAGGUGCGGGACGUGAGGGGCUGCCGGGAUUGGCGCGAUUUGCCGCUGCGACACCCCGAACAACAUCGAGUGGAUAAUAAAUCAAGACGAGACACGUGGAGUAUCAUAAGAGACCUCUGCAUUUAUUUAUCAUCUAAUAAAUAGUAGAGCGGUAAUUGGGAGAGCGGUAACAAUAUCGUGUAUUUGGCAAUAUGUACAACCGAGAGAAGGAAACUUACAUUCUUUUAUAAAUAGCAAAGUAAAUUAUUUUACACAGAAGAGGAGGCGGACGUCCACAAAUGUGACUCGGGAGGUGGAAAGGGGUAGGUAACAAAACGUUUCGUACAAGCCUGCUUCUCUCUUUUCUUUCUUUCUUUUACCUCGAGCUUCUCGCAUUUUGCACCUGCCACUUUUUACUGCAUUCGUGCAGCUCCACGUGGCAGCGUGUUCUUCUCUUAUCAUGUUACACUUGUGGGAAUAUCGUUACAAACACAUUCUUAACAGUACAGUUUACAAUAUAUGCUGGCACAUGCCAAGGUCGGCGAAGUCGCGUCGGCGUUGAACAAUGACGACGUGUGUCGUGCAACAAACGUCACCUAAUAGCGCCGGAUUGCCACGGUAAUUUACGCUCUUCCC
RNAcentral lists this long non-coding RNA (2198 nucleotides) under Ooceraea biroi (clonal raider ant). Its description in RNAcentral is "uncharacterized LOC113563386". The record is from RNAcentral. Lineage: Eukaryota; Metazoa; Arthropoda; Insecta; Hymenoptera; Formicidae.